UGUUUGAACUAAAAAUAAAAAUACAGAAUACAGACAUAAAAAUAGUAAGAUGUAAUUGUUCAUAAACAAAUUUUUCUUUGACAUAUUUAUUGUUCCAACACUGUGUCAUCCGAGCUAGCAUUUUGUCAUUUUCUAGAUGCCAAGGGUUCUUAAUUUUUUCAUAAAUACAGGCCACCAAAAUCAAAAUUGUAAUAUUUCAGUACCAAGCGGAAAAACAUAUUUUAUAUGUAAGAACUUCAAACUAUGCACUUAAUAUUUUACUGCUUUAUUACUAUCACGUGUUUUUAUUUCAUUUCUAACAAUUUCCGGAACAGCUUACCAAAGCGAUUGUCUCAUUACUAUGUCAAGAAGUGUAUCGCGUGUCAGCAAAGUUUAUCGCAACCAGCUAGAUUGUCUAGAACCAUUUUACUGUAUAAAUGGCGUAAAAACAAAUACGAUCGAUGAUCCUGUGUUUGCAUCGCUGAUCGAAUAACCCAAAUUGUGAACGGUAUUUGGUUUGCAUUCGAAUUUAAUUCCGAAAUUAUUGUAUUUUGCCAUCUGAACUAUUCCACCGUGACAGAUUAUUCCAUUCAAAUGGAAUUUUAUUAGUCUAGUAUCGUAUAAUAUAGUAGCAUAAUAAAAUAAUAUUGUCGCGUAGUAUAGUACAAAUAAAAAGAUCAGUAUAAAUAAUAUCAUUUUGGAAAUCGUUUCGUGUAAAAGCAAUUAUUCCAAUUUCUAUCAGUAAAUUCUAAGUAUUUCUUAUUCUUAUCUUAGAUAGGAUAUUUUUCAAUACUAAUUAUGCAAGCAAUGUAUAAUAAUUUUUGUGAUUUGCAAUGUAUUGUAAUGAGCGUAAAAACAAUAAAUAUUUGGUACUAUUAGAUUAAAAAA
Molecule: long non-coding RNA, 867 nt
Organism: Bombus impatiens (common eastern bumble bee)
Lineage: Eukaryota; Metazoa; Arthropoda; Insecta; Hymenoptera; Apidae
Exons: 2
Source: RefSeq, a predicted model, not a curated record